GCCCCCGUAGCUCAGGGGAUAGAGCAACGGCCUCCGGAGCCGUGUGCGCAGGUUCGAAUCCUGCCGGGGGUACC
RNAcentral lists this transfer RNA (74 nucleotides) under Streptomyces daqingensis. RNAcentral describes it as "tRNA-Arg". It matches the Rfam family "tRNA". Rfam says of the family: Transfer RNA (tRNA) molecules are approximately 80 nucleotides in length. Lineage: Bacteria; Bacillati; Actinomycetota; Actinomycetes; Kitasatosporales; Streptomycetaceae. The record is from RNAcentral.